GAUAACUGGCUUGUGGCAGCCAAGCGUUCAUAGCGAUGUUGCUUUUUGAUCCUUCGAUGUCGGCUCUUCCUAUCAUUGUGAAACAUAAUUCACCAAGUGUUGGAUUUUUCACGCUCCAAUAGGUCCCUAUGGAUUUGGGCGGUUAUCUUUUAUGUU
Ribosomal RNA from Lupinus angustifolius (narrow-leaved blue lupine), 156 nucleotides. It matches the Rfam family "Eukaryotic large subunit ribosomal RNA", at positions 2825 to 2984 of the family's 3401-position model. NCBI's taxonomy places the organism in Eukaryota, Viridiplantae, Streptophyta, Magnoliopsida, Fabales, Fabaceae. The record is from Rfam.